UUAGUACACCCUCCAUCCCAAAUUAUUUGUCUUAGAUUUGUCUAGAUACGGAUGUAUCUACCACUUUUUUUGUGUUAGACACAUCUGUCUCUAGACAAAUCUAAGACAAGUAAUUUGGGAUGGAGGUAAUACAAC
This is a non-coding RNA of Hordeum vulgare subsp. vulgare (domesticated barley), 135 nucleotides long. The record is from Rfam. NCBI's taxonomy places the organism in Eukaryota, Viridiplantae, Streptophyta, Magnoliopsida, Poales, Poaceae.